Molecule: non-coding RNA, 1150 nt
Organism: Penaeus vannamei (Pacific white shrimp)
Lineage: Eukaryota; Metazoa; Arthropoda; Malacostraca; Decapoda; Penaeidae
Source: RefSeq, a predicted model, not a curated record
AAACGGCCCAUAUGCAUGAUUCGCCCAAUAAACACGCCACAUAAUGUCUGUCGAAAAUAAAAUCAUCCACUGAAAUAUAAACAAGCCUCCAAAUAAUAUCCAACACAAAUAACAUACAAAAGAAACGAGCAAAUAAUCAUCAUAAAUACACAACAUGUGUGAAACUUAGAUGAAAUUAAUAAACGCACCCAGUCGCCGCUGAUGGACGUCGCCUGUUAAACGCGGCGACUGCAGUGGGCGAGUCAAUAACAACUCUGGAAUUUCUGUUUCGCUCUGCUGUCGCAGCCUGCAAUUAUUGGCUGCUGCUUCAGAAGAUUUCCACAAGAGGGCUUGUGGAGAGCUUACAAGUCCCUGUAUAGCAGAGGUGUUGGGGCCACACCCCCUCAUCUCUCUGCUAGGGGAUCACCACAGGCCAAGGCAAAAGUGAUAUGAUGAAACAACGGAAAGAAAGACAAAGAAGAAACAGCAUGGAACCCUUAUUAGAAGAGGAAACAGUAAAAAAAGUAAAUGUAAAGUAUGACAAAUUGGAAAAAGUAAGUAGAUGAGUUCAAAUGAAGGAGACUUUUUCCCCUUAUAAGCACUGCCUUCUACCACUAGUUCUUUUUUGAUUGGAUUUUGAUUUUUUAUGAUUAUUGCUGGCAAAAAGCAUGCUCUUUUUAUUUAAAUAGAAACUUACAAAUUUGUAAAAACUCUGACAGGGUUUCCUUUCAUCCUUUUAAUGUCUGAAAAUGUUUUAGCAAAACUGCCUGUUGAUAGUAAUGUUAAGCAUAGAAUAUGCUAUGUAUAUAGAUUUUUUUAGAUGCACAUAUGUUUGAUCAUAUGCAUGGCACAUAUCUGUACAUACUAUUUUACAAUCAUAUUUUCAUUUGCCAACAUGACCAUAAUGUCAGCAUGAUGAUUUGAUUAUUGAUGUCCCAAGUUCUAGUCCAAGAAAAUGGAACUUAUUGCUAGCAAGUUUUCCUAAACUAAGAAUAGUGCUACAGAAGGAAGAUAUGUGAAGAUGAAAACAGAAUAAUCAGCACAGAUGAGGACUGCAAGCCACUUUAAUUUUUAGGCUAAAUUCUAAUUUUAGGAUUUUCAUAUAUUUAUAUUGGACAUGAACAAAAUCUUUUUAGAAGGUGAUUCAUUGUCAUCAUACUUGAUAAUAGGG